UGAGAUGUUGGGUUAAGUCCCGCAACGAGCGCAACCCUUUUCCUUACUUGCCAGCAUUUCGGAUGGGAACUUUAAGGAUACUGCCAGUGACAAACUGGAGGAAGGCGGGGACGACGUCAAGUCAUCAUGGCCCUUACGGCCAGGGCUACACACGUGCUACAAUGGUCGGUACAAAGGGUUGCUACACAGCGAUGUGAUGCUAAUCUCAAAAAGCCGAUCGUAGUCCGGAUUGGAGUCUGAACUCGACUCCAUGAAGUCGGAAUCGCUAGUAAUCGCGGAUCAGAAUGCCGCGGUGAAUACGUUCCCGGGCCUUGUACACACCGCCCGUCACACCAUGGGAGUUUGUUGCACCAGAAGUAGCUAGCCUAACUGCAAAGAGGGCGGU
Molecule: ribosomal RNA, 385 nt
Filed under: Acinetobacter baumannii OIFC032
Lineage: Bacteria; Pseudomonadati; Pseudomonadota; Gammaproteobacteria; Moraxellales; Moraxellaceae
Description: bacterial SSU rRNA
Rfam family: Bacterial small subunit ribosomal RNA
Source: RNAcentral